AUUGAACGCUGGCGGAAUGCUUUACACAUGCAAGUCGAACGGCAGCACGGACUUCGGUCUGGUGGCGAGUGGCGAACGGGUGAGUAAUGUAUCGGAACGUGCCCAGUCGUGGGGGAUAACGUAGUGAAAAUUACGCUAAUACCGCAUACGAUCUAUGGAUGAAAGCGGGGGAUCGCAAGACCUCGCGCGAUUGGAGCGGCUGAUAUCAGAUUAGGUAGUUGGUGGGGUAAAGGCCCACCAAGCCAACGAUCUGUAGCUGGUCUGAGAGGACGACCAGCCACACUGGAACUGAGACACGGUCCAGACUCCUACGGGAGGCAGCAGUGGGGAAUUUUGGACAAUGGGCGAAAGCCUGAUCCAGCCAUUCCGCGUGCAGGAUGAAGGCCCUCGGGUUGUAAACUGCUUUUGUACAGAACGAAAAGGUUUCUACUAAUACUAGGAGCUCAUGACGGUACUGUAAGAAAAGCACCGGCUAACUACGUGCCAGCAGCCGCCGUAA
This 499-nucleotide ribosomal RNA is filed under the name uncultured bacterium. RNAcentral's name for it is "partial 16S ribosomal RNA". It matches the Rfam family "Bacterial small subunit ribosomal RNA", at positions 30 to 523 of the family's 1533-position model. The record is from RNAcentral.